AUCUCUCACAAGCUUGUGAUAUGCGGCUUUUUCGACAUGCCACAGAUCCCAAGUUUGGGAUCUGUGGCAUGUCGAAAAAGCCGCAUAUCGAAAGGAAGAAAAAAAUGUUAUUUAUAAAAAUGUUCUUUAGAAAAAAUGUUAUUUAGAAAAAAAAUCGUUCCUGCUCCACGUUCCCGUAGAACAACCUUGUUAUGACUUCGUCGCAAUCACCAGACAAACUUUCAAAACCAAGGGCUCGUACUCUUCUUCAAAGAAAUGUACUUCUUCAAAGAAGAGUACUUCUUCUUCAUAGCAAAAACAAAUACAAUAAAGCACUGUUCUCUUCACCAUAAAGAAGAGCCCUCAACUUUUUCUAGUCCAUACAAUUUUUCCAACGUGACAGGCGGUGUGUACUCUAGAGAAACUUCUAACUUUCACCGUGGCAGGCUCAUCCACGAUUACUAAUGAUUCCGACUUCACAUACCCGAGUUGCAGGGUAUGAUCCGAAAAAAGGAAUGUUUUCCUGAUUGGCGAAGGGCUUUCUUCUGUAUUUAUGCACUUCUUUUUGAGUGCAUAAAUACAGAACCUUGGCAACAAACUGUACAUUCCAUUGUAACACAGGUGUAUCCCAAUACAUAUGGGCCAUGAUGACUAGACGUGAACCCAGAUUAAGGUAAAGCGAGCGAGCGCUUUACUCUCCAGAAACAAAAAAGGUUCUUUGAACACAAUUUUAAAAUUCUGGUAGGGGAGGUGUCCGUAAGAAGCACAAAAAGAGUGCAAAAACGGCAUAGCACCACGGACUGACGACAGCCAUGCAACGCCUGUGUAGAUCUGUUUUUUAUCUAAAAAGAGAAAAAUCUCUCAAUAAAAUUUUAUAUUCGACUUCUUCACCUUC
This 874-nucleotide ribosomal RNA is filed under the name Coelastrum sp. F187. Its description in RNAcentral is "16S ribosomal RNA". The record is from RNAcentral. Lineage: Eukaryota; Viridiplantae; Chlorophyta; Chlorophyceae; Sphaeropleales; Scenedesmaceae.